This 464-nucleotide ribosomal RNA is filed under the name uncultured bacterium. RNAcentral describes it as "partial 16S ribosomal RNA". It matches the Rfam family "Bacterial small subunit ribosomal RNA", at positions 28 to 507 of the family's 1533-position model. The record is from RNAcentral.
GACGAACGCUGGCGGCGUGCUUAACACAUGCAAGUCGAACGGAAAGGCCCUGCUUGCCGGGUACUCGAGUGGCGAACGGGUGAGUAACACGUGGGUGAUCUGCCCUUCACUUCGGGAUAAGCCUGGGAAACUGGGUCUAAUACCGGAUAGGAGCCAUUUUUAGUGUGAUGGUUGGAAAGUUUUUUCGGUGUAGGAUGAGCUUACGGCCUAUCAGCUUGUUGGUGGGGUAAUGGCCUACCAAGGCGGCGACGGGUAGCCGGCCUGAGAGGGUGGACGGCCACAUUGGGACUGAGAUACGGCCCAGACGCCUACGGGAGGCAGCAGUGGGGAAUAUUGCACAAUGGGCGCAAGCCUGAUGCAGCGACGCCGCGUGGGGGAUGACGGCCUUCGGGUUGUAAACUCCUUUCGCUAGGGACGAAGCUUUUGUGACGGUACCUAGAUAAGAAGCACCGGCUAACUACGUG